UGAUCUCAUAAGGUGGUGUUUGGGUUGUUUAUAGGGAUAUAAGCUUUGGGUUUACUCGACUUGGUUUCUGAUAGGUCUGUGCGAUCACAGGUAGCUGGUGCCAAAGAGGCAAACAUAGCACUGUUCAACAUCUCUUAGAAGUAGUUUGGAUGGAUAGUGCGACCAAGUACUGCUGUCCAUAUUAAUUGACGAAGUACCACCAAAUCUUGUUUUCCAAAAUAAUUUAUGAAGAUCAUGCCAGCCUUAUUUUUGUUGUGGACUCUUUUUACCACAAGUACACGUAUAGCGGACGAAAGCCAAAGGAGUCCACAACGGCGCCGUCUACAAGUGGUUGAUUCGCCGCGCAACAGGAGGAGGAUUAGUUUGUUAGGAUUUGUUAUUUG
RNAcentral lists this long non-coding RNA (383 nucleotides) under Setaria italica (foxtail millet). RNAcentral describes it as "long non-coding RNA (SITA_LNC000088)". The record is from RNAcentral. Lineage: Eukaryota; Viridiplantae; Streptophyta; Magnoliopsida; Poales; Poaceae.